AACAUUGUCGUUUUCAAAACUCCUCAGUGCCCUAAUGUGACCGUGAGCACCCACCCCUCCAUGCUAGGAGGCUGGCCUCACCCCUCAUCGUGUCUCUUCUCUCUGUGUGUCUUUCUUGUUACUGUCUCCCUCAAGCUCUGUCACCUCUAUCACGGCUGGUGUCGGUGUUGCAAUCAACCCCUAUCAUCUCUGGGAGCUUGCUUAUCUCUCGCGCCGGAAGUCACCGUUUGGCACUCGAGGUCGCCGUUUACUUUCAUCAUGUUAAGCUCGUCAUGCUUUGUCGCGGCCUCAAGCUCGUCGCAGUCUGUCGUCACCGUCUAAAGGUCAGUUGCCGCCUUCCUGCGGUCGCUUCCUCGAUAGCAUAAGCAGACCAAACCAACAACUGGUCCCUCGGGUGGUGGUUGUUGUUGUCUUAUUGCUUUGACCGCCAGUUCAAUUGGUCAUCUACCUUCGUCGUCAGUUGGUCCUUGGAUAAUAAUGGCAUCAACUAGUAAGUUUGAUGAGGAGCUGUGUAUGUGGAAUGAGCCAGUUGGGGAUUACUGGAUGGAUGGCAAUGUUGGUGUUUUAAAUCAACAGGUACAAUGUGUAUACCUUGAAAUUCGUAUGUCUACAAUGUGAGUUGAUUAGAAGUAGAUAGGUAUGCGCUAUUAGAUUUAUUAUAGCAGUUAGUAGGGAUUGAUAAGCAUGUCAUAUUUGCAAUUUGUUAAAUGAGUUUGGUGGAGUGAUUAUGGAAUUGGUAGUAUUGGCAGUAGGUAUGAGGGUUAUGUUGCUAGAACUGUUAUUUUUUGUGCUGAGGAUAAUGUCACGAAUCUGGUAUGUAAAAAAAAGGAAUAUUGGUGUUUUUUGUUAAGCAGGGCGUGGCUGUAGUAUUUGAAGGAUCUAUGCUCUAAGUUGGGGAAAAGGUGUCCCCUCUAACAUUUUAAAAAAAUAUAAGAAAGUAUAUAUAUAAAUACAUUUGUGCUCCCGUUGAAAAUUUA
Molecule: long non-coding RNA, 977 nt
Organism: Arachis duranensis
Lineage: Eukaryota; Viridiplantae; Streptophyta; Magnoliopsida; Fabales; Fabaceae
Exons: 2
Source: RefSeq, a predicted model, not a curated record